RNAcentral lists this transfer RNA (71 nucleotides) under Culex quinquefasciatus (southern house mosquito). It matches the Rfam family "tRNA". Rfam says of the family: Transfer RNA (tRNA) molecules are approximately 80 nucleotides in length. Their secondary structure includes four short double-helical elements and three loops (D, anti-codon, and T loops). Further hydrogen bonds mediate the characteristic L-shaped molecular structure. tRNAs have two regions of fundamental functional importance: the anti-codon, which is responsible for specific mRNA codon recognition, and the 3' end, to which the tRNAs corresponding amino acid is attached (by aminoacyl-tRNA synthetases). tRNAs cope with the degeneracy of the genetic code in two manners: having more than one tRNA (with a specific anti-codon) for a particular amino acid; and 'wobble' base-pairing, i.e. permitting non-standard base-pairing at the 3rd anti-codon position. Lineage: Eukaryota; Metazoa; Arthropoda; Insecta; Diptera; Culicidae. The record is from Rfam by way of RNAcentral.
GGACCCUUGGUGUAGGAGUAAACAUGGUUGCCUCUCACCCAGUUGGCCUGGGUUCGAUUCCAGAAGGUCCC